RNAcentral lists this ribosomal RNA (407 nucleotides) under uncultured bacterium. RNAcentral describes it as "bacterial SSU rRNA". It matches the Rfam family "Bacterial small subunit ribosomal RNA", at positions 129 to 518 of the family's 1533-position model. The record is from RNAcentral.
CCCAUAAGAGGGGGGAUAACAUCCGGAAACGGGUGCUAAUACCGCAUAGUUUUCUUGAUCGCAUGAUCGGGAAAGGAAAGACGGCCUUUGUGCUGUCGCUUAUGGAUGGACCCGCGGCGUAUUAGUUAGUUGGUGAGGUAACGGCUCACCAAGACGAUGAUACGUAGCCGACCUGAGAGGGUGAUCGGCCACAUUGGGACUGAGACACGGCCCAAACUCCUACGGGAGGCAGCAGUAGGGAAUCUUCCGCAAUGGACGAAAGUCUGACGGAGCAACGCCGCGUGAGUGAAGAAAGGUUUUCGGAUCGUAAAACUCUGUUGUCAGAGAAGAACAAGUUGGAGAGUAACUGCUCCAGCCUUGACGGUAUCUGACCAGAAAGCCACGGCUAACUACGUGCCAGCAGCGGC